Molecule: ribosomal RNA, 301 nt
Filed under: uncultured bacterium
Lineage: Bacteria
Description: bacterial SSU rRNA
Rfam family: Bacterial small subunit ribosomal RNA
Source: RNAcentral
AACGAACGCUGGCGGCGUGGAUAAGACAUGCAAGUCGAACGGGAUUACUUUUGGUAGCAAUACCGAAAGUAAUUCAGUGGCGAACGGGUGCGUAACACGUGGGCAAUCUGCCGAAAAGUGGGGGAUAGCUCGCCGAAAGGCGAAUUAAUACCGCAUGUGGUGAGGGACGACAUCUUCCUGAAGUCCAAAGCCGGGGCAACCUGGCGCUUUUUGAGGAGCCCGCGGCCUAUCAGCUAGUUGGCGGGGUAACGGCCCACCAAGGCUAUGACGGGUAGCUGGUCUGAGAGGACGACCAGUCACA